UGAGGACCUACUGUGUGCCCAACCCUGUGGAUACAGAGAUGAACAAAGCCUAGUUCCUGCUCCCAAAGGGCUUCCUGACUAGUGGUGUGACCACCCAUUUAUGAAGAGAGGAAAACUGAGAGCCAAGGGAAGGAAUGGACUUGCCCAGGAUCACACAGCUCAAGAUGCUCCAAGCAACGUUUCUGGAGCCUCCAGAACUGAAGGGCGGACCAAUUCCCUGGAGGAAAGGAAUGGAUUUGGGCCCAGGGGAGCCACAUUUUUUCUCAGCUCUAUGGCAAGCAAGCACCAAGGGUCCAAGGAUCAGGGAGCAUAUUAAAUACACUGUUCUAGGGAUUUCCCUGAUGGUGCAGUGGUUAAGAAUCCACCUGCCAGUGCAGGAGACAUGGGUUCGAGCCCUGGUCCCGGAAGAUCCCACAUGCCGAGGAGCAACUAAGCCUGUGCACCACAACUACUGAGUCUGCGCUCUAGAGCCAGCGAGCCACAACUACUGAAGCCCACGCGCCUAGAGCCCGUGCUCCACAACAAGAGAAGUCACCGCAAUGAGAAGCCCGCACACCACAACAAAAAGUAGCCCCGCUCACCACAACUAGAGAAAGCCUGUGCGCAGCAACGAAGACCCAAU
Molecule: long non-coding RNA, 622 nt
Organism: Balaenoptera ricei (Rice's whale)
Lineage: Eukaryota; Metazoa; Chordata; Mammalia; Artiodactyla; Balaenopteridae
Exons: 4
Source: RefSeq, a predicted model, not a curated record